UAUUCUUGCAAUAUUGGUAAUUGGCAUUUCAAAAUUUGGCAUUACAUCAUGUUAAAUAAAAUUAAACUGUAAUCAAAUGAAAAAAUAAUCUAAAUUUUAUCAUCUGGUGUGAUUAUGAACCUCCACUACUGCCAACACCACUAAAAAUAAUAAUAAUAAUUCUAAUUGUGAUUUGCAUGACUUUGUGCUUGGACCACUGGGGUUGAAAUGAAAGCAUUAGCGGUACUAAUCAUGAAGUAAUAUACACAAUUAUAAAAUUUGGGAAAAAAAAAAAAGAAAAGGUGCAGUGGCAUAUAGGACGUCGAUGACCUCAGACUUUUGGGUAGAAUAAAGUCACCUUUGCUCAACAGAUGAUAAUUUCCAUUUGUAAGGCAAGAGCUUUCUGGAAAUCCGUCGCUCAGAAGUUGGGAGGCAAUAAACUUUUCGCUGGUCUAGCACCACCCAAAGAUUUACAUAACAGUCAAACGUGUUUCAGGUUAUCUUUCAUAUUCUUUCCCAGGUUUCCACAACAGAAACUAACAGAAAAACUGGGAAAAGCUCAUGGGAAUUUUGUUCUAGAUGUGCUGUCACCUAGAUCUUCCAAAAUAAUUUUAACUCCAUUGUUUUUAAGGGCAUUAACAAUUGCCCAGAUCUUGGUUUGAUUUUUAAAACCUUCUUUCUCAAUCUCUUUGUUUAGAUUGACAUGAAUUCCUCUUCCAUAUUGUCCCUGGUCAAGACCCUCCACCUUCAGAGGCAUGGCCAACAACUCUCCAACAACUGCUGCUGCUUUGGCAUUGCAGGACCAACCACAUUCAAGUGCAUUCUUGAUGGAAUGCUAAACUGUUGAUGAUGUUGCAACAAUCCUCCCAUUGUUUCUGCCUACAACAUUUGCUGUAAUGUACUUCAAUGAUAUAUACAAUCUCAAUGCGUACCUUUUCAAAACUGUCAUUCUUUUAACUCUCCAGAAAUUAUGUUUAGAUACAAAACAAUUAUCAGUUUAGGAAUUUAUCAUCUUUAGCAGUAGGUACAGAAUGAAACAAUCAACAAAUCAUAGCAAAAAGAAUUAAGAAAAUGUUGUUUUCAUUCUUUUGAAUGUUGAUUUCAACGCAAGCCUCCACGCACCACCAUUACUAUCUUAGCAGUUAAGAGCAUAGAAAUGAUAUGGUUUCUUAAAAUCAAACAUAAUUUCAAAAGAUUCAACAAGCAAUAACAUUCAAAUUUAUCUCAUGCAACUAAAUAACGCACAUGUAAGGCACUGCUUCUGCACUUCAAUCAUCUCAUUAGCGUCAUCACCAACCACCCACAAAACUUUCACUAAAAUUGCAUUAUUAAGGUUAACUCUUUUAAGUCAUAUGGAUGCCAAAAGUAUAUCAACUACUUGUUGUUCAGAUUGGAUGCUUACACAAUCACUAAUCUAAUAAAGUUUAAAGAUGAAUGAAGAAUCUAUCUGGCUCUGAAUAGUAAGGUAGCAAACAUCCUUAAGAUAACUCAAAGGAUAUGCUCACUACAGACGGCUAAAAUGGAUCAUGCAAAUAAACAUCAUUACAAACUCAACAUGAUUUGGAUGAAAUGGGAAUUAAAUGAACAUUCACUAUAGUAUAGCCAGCCUAUCCUUAAAGUCCUAGGAGCGUGCCAAAUAUGUACCAAGUAUAUCAAAUCGUAGUACCAAAAUAUAACAUGUUUACAUAAGAACCAGGUUAAGUGGAAUUGGAAUGGGUACUGAAUAUAGGUGUUUCAUGAGAUCAUACUUCAAAAGUUCCAUAGCCACUGGUUUGGAAACCUCAUAACUGUUAGGAAGUCCACAACAACCCUACAUGCCGCAAUAUUUGUUGCCAUCAACGAGCAAAUUAGCUCACCACUGUGCUUUCUUUCCUCACCAUAACCUACCUACUUAAUCUUACACUAAGCUUAGUAAUCAUGGAACACCCAACUAAGCAAAACCCCUAAAGACCAUGAAUUUACUCGAAAUUCCAAAAUUUUCUUAUCAUUUCCUUCGCUUUCUCUAAAACCAAUCACACCCCAAUACACACUGCAACGAGUGAGAGCCAGGCCAAAACCGAGACAAGCUGUUUCUUU
Molecule: unclassified non-coding RNA, 2055 nt
Filed under: Hevea brasiliensis (rubber tree)
Lineage: Eukaryota; Viridiplantae; Streptophyta; Magnoliopsida; Malpighiales; Euphorbiaceae
Source: RNAcentral